RNAcentral lists this ribosomal RNA (560 nucleotides) under uncultured bacterium. RNAcentral describes it as "partial 16S ribosomal RNA". It matches the Rfam family "Bacterial small subunit ribosomal RNA", at positions 355 to 902 of the family's 1533-position model. The record is from RNAcentral.
UGGGGAAUAUUGCACAAUGGGCGCAAGCCUGAUGCAGCCAUGCCGCGUGUGUGAAGAAGGCCUUCGGGUUGUAAAGCACUUUCAGCGAGGAGGAAGGUGGUGAACUUAAUACGUUCAUCAAUUGACGUUACUCGCAGAAGAAGCACCGGCUAACUCCGUGCCAGCAGCCGCGGUAAUACGGAGGGUGCAAGCGUUAAUCGGAAUUACUGGGCGUAAAGCGCACGCAGGCGGUUUGUUAAGUCAGAUGUGAAAUCCCCGGGCUCAACCUGGGAACUGCAUUUGAAACUGGCAAGCUAGAGUCUCGUAGAGGGGGGUAGAAUUCCAGGUGUAGCGGUGAAAUGCGUAGAGAUCUGGAGGAAUACCGGUGGCGAAGGCGGCCCCCCUGGACGAAGACUGACGCUCAGGUGCGAAAAGCGUGGGGAGCAAAACAGGAUUAGAUACCCUGGUAGUCCACGCUGUAAAACGAUGUCGAUUUGGAGGUUGUGCCCUUGAGGCGUGGCUUCCGGAGCUAACGCGUUAAAUCGACCGCCUGGGGAGUACGGCCGCAAGGUUAAAAACUU